Molecule: ribosomal RNA, 495 nt
Filed under: uncultured bacterium
Lineage: Bacteria
Description: partial 16S ribosomal RNA
Rfam family: Bacterial small subunit ribosomal RNA
Source: RNAcentral
GACGAACGCUGGCGGCGUGCCUAAUACAUGCAAGUAGAACGCUGAAGGAGGAGCUUGCUUCUCUGGAUGAGUUGCGAACGGGUGAGUAACGCGUAGGUAACCUGCCUGGUAGCGGGGGAUAACUAUUGGAAACGAUAGCUAAUACCGCAUAAGAGUAGAUGUUGCAUGUCAUUUGCUUAAAAGGUGCAAUUGCAUCACUACCAGAUGGACCUGCGUUGUAUUAGCUAGUUGGUGGGGUAACGGCUUACCAAGGCGACGAUACAUAGCCGACCUGAGAGGGUGAUCGGCCACACUGGGACUGAGACACGGCCCAGACUCCUACGGGAGGCAGCAGUAGGGAAUCUUCGGCAAUGGACGGAAGUCUGACCGAGCAACGCCGCGUGAGUGAAGAAGGUUUUCGGAUCGUAAAGCUCUGUUGUAAGAGAAGAACGAGUGUGAGAGUGGAAAGUUCACACUGUGACGGUAUCUUACCAGAAAGGGACGGCUAACUACGUG